GACGAACGCUGGCGGCGUGCUUAACACAUGCAAGUCGAACGGAAAGGCCCUGCUUUUGUGGGGUGCUCGAGUGGCGAACGGGUGAGUAACACGUGAGUAACCUGCCCUUGACUUUGGGAUAACUUCAGGAAACUGGGGCUAAUACCGGAUAGGAGCUCCUGCUGCAUGUUGGGGGUUGGAAAGUUUCGGCGGUUGUGGAUGGUCUCGCGGCUUAUCAGCUUGUUGGUGGGGUAGUUGCUUACCAAGGCUUUGACGGGUAGCCGGCCUGAGAGGGGGACCGGCGACAUUGGGACUGAGAUACGGCGCAGAAGCCUAUGGGAGGCAGCAGGGGGGAGUAUUGCACAAUGGGCGGAAGCCUGAUGCGGCAACGCCGCGUGCGGGAUGACGGCCUUCGGGUUGUAAACCGCUUUCGCCUGUGACGAAGCGUGAGUGACGGUAAUGGGUAAAGAAGCACCGGCUAACUACGUG
RNAcentral lists this ribosomal RNA (468 nucleotides) under uncultured bacterium. RNAcentral's name for it is "partial 16S ribosomal RNA". It matches the Rfam family "Bacterial small subunit ribosomal RNA", at positions 28 to 507 of the family's 1533-position model. The record is from RNAcentral.